UACGAAGGGGGCUAGCGUUGCUCGGAUUGACUGGGCGUAAAGGGCGCGUAGGCGGUUUGCACAGUCAGACGUGAAAUUCCUGGGCUUAACCUGGGGGCUGCGUUUGAUACGUGCAGGCUUGAGUUCGGAAGAGGGUCGUGGAAUUCCCAGUGUAGAGGUGAAAUUCGUAGAUAUUGGGAAGAACACCAGUGGCGAAGGCGGCUCGCUGGACCGGUUCUGACGCUGAGGCGCGAAAGCGUGGGGAGCAAACAGG
RNAcentral lists this ribosomal RNA (253 nucleotides) under uncultured bacterium. RNAcentral's name for it is "partial 16S ribosomal RNA". It matches the Rfam family "Bacterial small subunit ribosomal RNA", at positions 524 to 776 of the family's 1533-position model. The record is from RNAcentral.